Molecule: ribosomal RNA, 411 nt
Filed under: uncultured soil bacterium
Lineage: Bacteria
Description: bacterial SSU rRNA
Rfam family: Bacterial small subunit ribosomal RNA
Source: RNAcentral
CAGCAGCCGCGGUAAUACGGGGGGAGCAAGCGUUGUUCGGAUUUACUGGGCGUAAAGGGCGCGUAGGCGGCCAGCACAAGUCAGUUGUGAAAUCUCCGAGCUUAACUCGGAAAGGUCAACUGAUACUGUGCGGCUAGAGUGCAGAAGGGGCAACUGGAAUUCUUGGUGUAGCGGUGAAAUGCGUAGAUAUCAAGAGGAACACCUGCGGCGAAGGCGGGUUGCUGGGCUGACACUGACGCUGAGGCGCGAAAGCUAGGGGAGCGAACGGGAUUAGAUACCCCGGUAGUCCUAGCCUUAAACGAUGAAUGCUUGGUGUCUGGGGUUAUAAAGUCCCCGGGUGCCGUCGCUAACGCUUUAAGCAUUCCGCCUGGGGAGUACGGUCGCAAGACUGAAACUCAAAGGAAUUGACGG